Molecule: unclassified non-coding RNA, 329 nt
Filed under: soil metagenome
Description: partial contains 5.8S ribosomal RNA, internal transcribed spacer 2, and large subunit ribosomal RNA
Rfam family: 5.8S ribosomal RNA (bases 1-120)
Source: RNAcentral
GAUGAAGAACGUAGCGAAAUGCGAUAAGUAGUGUGAAUUGCAGAAUUCAGUGAAUCAUCGAAUCUUUGAACGCACAUUGCGCCCCUUGGUAUCCCGAGGGGCAUGCCUGUUCGAGCGUCAUUUCACCACUCAAGCCUGGCUUGGUGUUGGGCGACGUCCUCUUUGGGGACGCGCCUCGAAACGCUCGGCGGCGUGGCACCGGCUUUAAGCGUAGCAGAAUCUUUCGCUUUGGAAGUCGGGGCCCCGUCUGCCGGAAGACCUGCUCGCAAGGUUGACCUCGGAUCAGGCAUGGAUACCCGCUGAACUUAAGCAUAUCAAUAAGCGGAGGA